GAAAAUUUGGGGUUAGAAUUUGGGAUUUUGGGUUCUGAAAAGGAUUUGGGGAAAGAAAAGGAAAAUUUGGGGUUCUGGGAGGGGAUUUGGGGGAAGAAAAGGAGAAUUUGGGGUUCUGGGAAGGAUUUGGGGAAAGAAAAGGAGAAUUUGGGGUGGGGAUUGGAGUGAAAGGAUAAUUUGGGUGGGAUUUUGAGGGAGAAAUGAAGGAUUUGGGGCUAAAAAAGGAAUUUUGGGGGGGAAUAGAAGGGAUUUGGGGGCGGGAAUUGAGAAUUUUGGGGAGAAAAUUAAAAUUUUGGGGCAAAAUUGAGAAUUUUGGAGUAGGAAUUGAGAAUUUUUGGGUGGGAAUUGAGGAUUUUGGGGUAAAAUAGAGAAUUUUGGGGCGGGAAUUGAGGAUUUUGAGGAGAAAUUGAGGAUUUUGUGGUGGGAAUUGAGAAUUUUGGGGCGGGAGUUCAUGAUUUUGGGGGAAAAAAUGAGAAUUUUAGGGUAAAAUUGAGAAUUUUGGGGUGGGAAUUGAAGAUUUUGAGUGGAAAUUGAGAAUUUUGGGGCAGAAAUUGAGGAUUUUGAGUGGAAAUUGAGGAUUUUGAGGCAGAAAUUUCAAAUUUUAUGGCGGAAAAUUCGAAUUUUCGUGUGGGAAUUCCCGAUUUGAGAGGCUCAAGUGUCGAAUUUAUGGCCCAAAAAUGACCCGAAAAAACCCCGAAAUUGGGUAAAUUGGGGCCGGGCUGGAAUUGGGGUGAAACCCCCCGAUUUUGGGUCCCCCAGCCCCAUUUUUCCUGCCAGGCCCGGCCGUGCCAUGGAGGAGGAGGAGGAGAAACCCCCCCGGGGGGGGGAGGAGCCGCGAGAGCAGCGGGAGGGACCCGGCCAGGGGCUACUGAAAGCUCUGCAGCGCCUCCUGAGCGGCGCCGGCACCUGGGGACAAGACCCCCCCCACAAGCCCCCCCGGCUGCAGCGCUGGUGCUGGGGAGCCCGGCCCGAGGGCGGCACGGUUUGGGAGCCCGUGGGGGGCCCGGGGGGGGCCCUGGAGCAGCUGCAGCUCAGCAGCGGGGAGGGGUCCCCCGAAGACGAGGAGCUGGAGUUGGUGGCCGAGGUCCGCGUGGCCGAUUUGGGGGGGCUGGCGGCCGCCUCGGGGCUCCUGCGCCGGGAGCGGCCCUGGAGAGCCCCCAAAGGAGGUCAGGGGGUCGGGGGGGGGAUUUGGGGGGAUUUGGGGGGAUUUGGGGGCAUUUUGGGGGGUUUUGGGAGGAUUUUGGGUGCAUUUCCGGGGGUUUUCAGGAGGGUUUGGGUGGAUUUGGGGGUGUUUGGGAUGGAUUUUGGGGGGGUUUGGGAUGGAUUUUGG
RNAcentral lists this long non-coding RNA (1330 nucleotides) under Taeniopygia guttata (zebra finch). RNAcentral's name for it is "lncRNA (ENSTGUG00000022918.1)". Lineage: Eukaryota; Metazoa; Chordata; Aves; Passeriformes; Estrildidae. The record is from RNAcentral.